GAGUUUGAUCUUGGCUCAGAGUGAACGCUGGCGGCAGGCCUAACACAUGCAAGUCGAGCGGCAGCGCGGGGGCAACCCUGGCGGCGAGCGGCGGACGGGUGAGGAAUGCAUCGGAAUCUACCUCGUUGUGGGGGAUAACCUCGGGAAACCGGGACUAAUACCGCAUACGACCUACGGGUGAAAGUGGGGGACCGCAAGGCCUCACGCGAUGAGAUGAGCCGAUGCCGGAUUAGCUAGUUGGCGGGGUAAAGGCCCACCAAGGCGACGAUCCGUAGCUGGUCUGAGAGGAUGAUCAGCCACACUGGAACUGAGACACGGUCCAGACUCCUACGGGAGGCAGCAGUGGGGAAUAUUGGACAAUGGGCGCAAGCCUGAUCCAGCCAUGCCGCGUGUGUGAAGAAGGCCUUCGGUUGU
Molecule: ribosomal RNA, 414 nt
Filed under: uncultured Gammaproteobacteria bacterium
Lineage: Bacteria; Pseudomonadati; Pseudomonadota; Gammaproteobacteria
Description: bacterial SSU rRNA
Rfam family: Bacterial small subunit ribosomal RNA
Source: RNAcentral